CGCAUCUGUGCAUGCAGCAUAUCAAUAAGCGGAGGAAAAGAAACUAACAAGGAUUCCCCUAGUAACGGCGAGUGAAGCGGGAAGAGCUCAAGUUUGAAAUCUUAAAGGGUUUCCCUUUACGAAUUGUAGUUUAAAGAAGUGUUUUCUGUUGAGGUUUUGGUAAAAGUUCUUGGAAUAGGACAUCAUAGAGGGUGAGAAUCCCGUAUUUGACCUUUACUUUCAACUUUGUGAUACACUUUCAAAGAGUCGGAUUGUUUGGGAAUGCAGUCCAAAAUGGGUGGUAAAUUUCAUCUAAAGCUAAAUAUUGGCGAGAGACCGAUAGCGAACAAGUACCGUGAGGGAAAGAUGAAAAGAACUUUGAAAAGAGAGUUAAACAGUACGUGAAAUUGUCAAAAGGGAAGCGUUUGACACCAGUGUUGUUUUUCUGAAAAUCAAUUAAAGAACUGUUUAUGCUAAGUUGUUUAGACUUUAUCAGCUAUCUGUUUAGUUUUGAGCUUUUCUUUAAUGCACUUUUCAGUUAACAAGUCAACAUCAAUUUCUUUUGCUGUAAAAAAGCUUGAGGAAGGUGGCUUGAGAUUCGUCUUAAGUGUUUAUAGCCUCUUGCCUAUGCAGUCGGAGAGAUUGAGGUCUGCAGCGUAGAUCCUUCGGGGCUAAAUGCAUUUGUGCUAAGUUAUAGCAUUUUAUAGACAACUUGUUGACUAUGAUUUGUCUUGUAGCUUACUCGCUUAUGUUAUUUUACCUACGCUUAGGAUGUUGAGCGCAUGUCUCUCUCU
This 773-nucleotide ribosomal RNA is filed under the name uncultured Neocallimastigales. Its description in RNAcentral is "partial large subunit ribosomal RNA". It matches the Rfam family "Eukaryotic large subunit ribosomal RNA", at positions 26 to 616 of the family's 3401-position model. The record is from RNAcentral. Lineage: Eukaryota; Fungi; Neocallimastigomycota; Neocallimastigomycetes; Neocallimastigales.